Molecule: ribosomal RNA, 459 nt
Filed under: uncultured bacterium
Lineage: Bacteria
Description: partial 16S ribosomal RNA
Rfam family: Bacterial small subunit ribosomal RNA
Source: RNAcentral
CUACGGGCCGCUGCAGUGAGGAAUAUUGGUCAAUGGACGCAAGUCUGAACCAGCCAUGCCGCGUGAAGGAAUAAGGCCCUAUGGGUCGUAAACUUCUUUUGUAUGAGAGCAAUAAGGUCCACGUGUGGAUCGAUGAGAGUAUCAUACGAAUAAGCAUCGGCUAACUCCGUGCCAGCAGCCGCGGUAAUACGGAGGAUGCAAGCGUUAUCCGGAUUCAUUGGGUUUAAAGGGUGCGUAGGCGGCUUGGUAAGUCAGCUGUGAAAUGCCAGUGCUCAACAUUGGACGGGCAGUUGAUACUGUCGGGCUUGAAUGCGGAUGCCGUGGGAGGAAUGUGUGGUGUAGCGGUGAAAUGCAUAGAUAUCACACAGAACACCGAUUGCGAAGGCAUCUCACGAAUCCGCAAUUGACGCUGAGGCACGAAAGUGUGGGGAUCAAACAGGAUUAGAUACCCCCGUAGUC